UCCCUGGUGGUCCAGUGGUUAAGACUCUGCACUUCCACUGCAGGGUUAUGGGUUAGUCCCUGGUCGGGGAA
RNAcentral lists this transfer RNA (71 nucleotides) under Ovis aries (sheep). It matches the Rfam family "tRNA". Rfam says of the family: Transfer RNA (tRNA) molecules are approximately 80 nucleotides in length. Lineage: Eukaryota; Metazoa; Chordata; Mammalia; Artiodactyla; Bovidae. The record is from Rfam by way of RNAcentral.